This 1261-nucleotide long non-coding RNA is filed under the name Ursus maritimus (polar bear). RNAcentral's name for it is "lncRNA (ENSUMAG00000017208.1)". The record is from RNAcentral. Lineage: Eukaryota; Metazoa; Chordata; Mammalia; Carnivora; Ursidae.
CCAGGUUCCCCCUUGGCUCCAGUUAGACCCUGGGGAAGAAAGAGAUGGUAGAUCAGUGAAGGGCAAACCUGCUCCCUGAACCCUGGGACAAGCCAGGGCCUGAGGUCUCUCCUGGGUGGGCCCAAGCUGCCUUUCACUCCACUCCAUGAAGGCCAAGGGGCCUCAACACCUUGUUUUCUCUUCCCCAGUUCCCACAGCAACCCUGGGAGGCACGCAGGCAGAACGAUUACCCUCUUUUGAAAGAUGAGAAACCAUGGCCCAAGGAUUUGUCUGCACAGGACUCACACCUCCCAGUUUAGGAGCCUGGUAGACCUAGCGGGUGUUGAAAAUUUGGAGAGGCCCUGGUGGUUGCUCAUAGCCCCGAUGACACUUCUUGAGCCAGCAGGACAAAGGCAACUCAUGAGACCUCUUUUUCCUCCCCUUUUAGUGAUUGACCCAAGUGUAUUCCUCAAUCAGACAACUGUCCCAAUGGUCCUGGCUGUGUCCAGAAUCCCAUGACCUUGGGCCCCUGGGAAUUCUGUGGUAUCAGCCAAUAAUCCUCCUCUCCUGAGUUACUCCUGGGGCUGUGAGGGGGUGGGUAUGGCAGGGAAGGGGGAAGGAAAGGACCGCUCCAUCCACAGCAUGCAGUCUGCUAUUUGGAGGCCAGAAAUGUGAGACUAAAUCCUGGCUGCAGCCGAUGAACAGAACCCUCUUUGGCCCCCCAUGUGCCCGUGAUUCAUGCUUCUGGGGUGGCCGGGAGGUCACAAGUCAUAGGAAGGUGAAGGGAACUCAUAGCUAUACAGUCUCCAUCCUGCUGCCCUGCUCUGAACAGAAGAGAGGGGAAGAUGGCAGAACUGGGCUCUGGAAGUCAGUGAGUUGAGCCCUAACUGCUUUAGCAGACACUCGGGUACUCACGUCAAUCCCAGGCUUCCCGUCUGGCCCAUCCGGCCCUGCUUUGCCAGGCUCUCCCUUAGGUCCCUUAAACACAGAGGUGGGGCAGAUAUUAGUCAGAGGAGGGCAAGAACUGGAAAGGUCAAAGGUCAAAGAGGAAAAGUACUCACCGGAGGGCCAGCUUUCCCGGGGGGCCCCUUGUCACCCUGCAAGAUACAAGUUGGUCAGAUAGCACCCCGUGGCUCAAGCUAACCCAAAUGGGCACAUGCAGGCCCUGGCUGGCUGGCCCCACAGGCCACUUUCCUCACUCUCUUCUCUUCCGCCCUGGGUCCCCUCAGCCUUGCGUUGUUUGUUUGUUUUGAAAGUAGCUCCUUUUCCCUCAAAACAAAAC